AUACUUACCUGGCAGGGGCGAUACACUGAUAACCCUAGGCAUGCUGACUUGCUGUUUCUCCAAAUAUAGGGAACUUAACUGUAUAAUUUGUGAUAAAGAGGAUUAGGGCUUUGCUUUUUCCUCU
Cricetulus griseus (Chinese hamster) is the source of this 124-nucleotide small nuclear RNA. Its record names the gene U1. It matches the Rfam family "U1 spliceosomal RNA". Rfam says of the family: U1 is a small nuclear RNA (snRNA) component of the spliceosome (involved in pre-mRNA splicing). Its 5' end forms complementary base pairs with the 5' splice junction, thus defining the 5' donor site of an intron. NCBI's taxonomy places the organism in Eukaryota, Metazoa, Chordata, Mammalia, Rodentia, Cricetidae. The record is from Ensembl.